RNAcentral lists this transfer RNA (72 nucleotides) under Danio rerio (zebrafish). It matches the Rfam family "tRNA". From Rfam's summary of the family: Transfer RNA (tRNA) molecules are approximately 80 nucleotides in length. Their secondary structure includes four short double-helical elements and three loops (D, anti-codon, and T loops). The record is from Rfam by way of RNAcentral. Lineage: Eukaryota; Metazoa; Chordata; Actinopteri; Cypriniformes; Danionidae.
GCUGAAAUAGCUUAGUUGGGAGAGUGUUAGACUGAAUAUCUAAAGGUCCCUGGUUAUAACCAGGGUUUGGUA